AUUCCGGAACGGGAAGAAGGAGCUGUCUCUCUCUUCUGAGGGGUAGGCAGGUGCUUCCGAAUCGCGGAAUGUAGGUGCUCAUAAGCUGGAGACCCACGGAAAGAACCUAGAAGCUCCGAGCGGUUGCAGACAGCACUGCAUUGAGCCAACGACUCCUGCUCUACUGAUGGUGAUUCCACAGCUUUGUGAGGAAUAAGUUAAGAUGAAUUACAGUUUCCCCUGGACUUCUUUCUCUCUCCUGCCGCCUUGUGAAGAAGGUGCCUGCCUCCCCUUCCACCACGAUUCUAAGUUUCCUGAAGUCUCCCCAGCCAUGCUGAACUAAUGUUAUCUUAUCUGGAAGAAGAGGAAUAGGAAAGAAAAGGAGUCAGGAAUGGAUCUUACUCAGAAGGCUGACUAGACACAGCCAGGUGGAAGAGCUCCCACUGCGGGACCAAGAUGACUGGAAUGCCCCUAACAGAUCUUCAGAGGGAAGAAACCAGGAGUGGACAGAGAGAAGACACAGAAGCUGGGCUGAAGGUAGUGAAAGCUGGGAAUGUGGCACAGGACUACUGCACACCAGGUUUUGUUCCUGGCCCACAAUGGCUCUGGGGGAUCAGGUUGAAGGAAAAUUACCCUGGAUGGAAGAUCAGAGGUAUAGAAAGAAAUGGAGAGCAAAGAAAGAGGCUCUGCCUUGCCCCUUGUGGCACCUGGGAGAUGACGGAGUUGAACAUCCAGUAGCACUGCCAGGUGUAGCACUGCGGGUAUCAAGGUGAUUGGGGAAUCCCCAUCCUUGGUCACAUGAGACCUGAGCCCUGCUUUGGCUCCAUGGAUGGCAGCAGUGGGUUUUCCUCCAUUUGUAUGUUAUGGUUGUUUAGGAAUAUUUUGCCUUGAAUACAAAUCCAGGAGUCUCAUGGUUGUUCUGAGGUGACUGUAAUCAAUGAGGACUAAAAACAGAUAAACAUGUGUCUUAUCCAUUCAUUCAAG
This 963-nucleotide long non-coding RNA is filed under the name Homo sapiens (human). RNAcentral describes it as "non-protein coding lnc-PAPPA2-1:7". The record is from RNAcentral. Lineage: Eukaryota; Metazoa; Chordata; Mammalia; Primates; Hominidae.